Molecule: long non-coding RNA, 450 nt
Filed under: Pan troglodytes (chimpanzee)
Lineage: Eukaryota; Metazoa; Chordata; Mammalia; Primates; Hominidae
Description: lincRNA
Source: RNAcentral
AUGAAGGAAGCGCUCCAUCAGAUAGUCGUCCGCUGCAGUGAGCUGGUUUCCAGCACGAGCCUGCCUAGACUCAGCGUCUCCCGCCUCCAGGGACCCCCAGACUCUCAGCCCCUAGGCACCCUGGGCCAGGGUGGUUGGAAGCUUCUAGGCAUUGUGGGGUCUCUGGCACCAGAGACACUCGGGGGUCUGGGGACCGAGUUUGGGCCCUGUACCCACCCACUACCAUUUGACAUGGUGAGAGAGAGAGAGAGAGAUGACGAGCUCAGGCAGGGAUGGCUUCUCCAGUGCCCACAAUAUGCCAGGACUCUGCUAUGCCACUGUGGGCCUUUCCUCACCCCUCCCUCCCAGACAUCAAGCUCCGGUUUCCAGCUGUGUUCCUUGAAGCCCUCGGGCUCUCUGGUGACAGCCACAGAGCCUCUGAGCAAUUUUGCUUUCAGCUAUUUUCCAUGA